RNAcentral lists this ribosomal RNA (254 nucleotides) under uncultured bacterium. RNAcentral describes it as "partial 16S ribosomal RNA". It matches the Rfam family "Bacterial small subunit ribosomal RNA", at positions 524 to 776 of the family's 1533-position model. The record is from RNAcentral.
UACGGGGGGAGCAAGCGUUGUUCGGAUUUACUGGGCGUAAAGGGCGCGUAGGCGGUCGUGACAAGUCACUUGUGAAAUCUCCGGGCUUAACUCGGAACGGCCAAGUGAAACUGUCAAGCUAGAGUGCAGAAGGGGCAAUCGGAAUUCUUGGUGUAGCGGUGAAAUGCGUAGAUAUCAAGAGGAACACCUGAGGUGAAGACGGGUUGCUGGGCUGACACUGACGCUGAGACACGAAAGCCAGGGGAGCAAACGGG